UACGUAGGGGGCGAGCGUUAUCCGGAAUUACUGGGCGUAAAGCGCACGCAGGCGGUUCGCCAAGUUUGGAGUGACAGUUGUCGGCUCAACCGACAAAGGACUUCAAAAACUGGUGAACUUGAGGACGAGAGAGGAACAUGGAACUCCAGGUGUAGUAGUGAAAUGCGUAGAUAUCUGGAAGAACACCAAUGGCGAAGGCAAUGUUCUGGCUCGUUUCUGACGCUCAGGUGCGAAAGCCAGGGAGCGAACGGG
RNAcentral lists this ribosomal RNA (252 nucleotides) under uncultured bacterium. RNAcentral describes it as "partial 16S ribosomal RNA". It matches the Rfam family "Bacterial small subunit ribosomal RNA", at positions 524 to 776 of the family's 1533-position model. The record is from RNAcentral.